This 253-nucleotide ribosomal RNA is filed under the name uncultured bacterium. Its description in RNAcentral is "partial 16S ribosomal RNA". It matches the Rfam family "Bacterial small subunit ribosomal RNA", at positions 524 to 776 of the family's 1533-position model. The record is from RNAcentral.
AACGUAGGAGACAACCGUUAUCCGGAUUUACUGGGCGUAAAGGGCGUGUAGGUGGUUUUGUAAGUCUGGCGUGAAAUUUUUCGGCUUAACCGGGAAAGGUCGUCGGAUACUGCAGGACUAGAGGACGGUAGAGGCGUGUGGAAUUCCGGGUGUAGUGGUGAAAUGCGUAGAGAUCCGGAGGAACACCAGUGGGGAAGGCGACACGCUGGGCCGUACCUGACACUGAUGCGCGAAAGCAUGGGGAGCAAACAGG